RNAcentral lists this transfer RNA (77 nucleotides) under Rhodospirillaceae bacterium. Its description in RNAcentral is "tRNA-Arg". It matches the Rfam family "tRNA". Rfam says of the family: Transfer RNA (tRNA) molecules are approximately 80 nucleotides in length. Their secondary structure includes four short double-helical elements and three loops (D, anti-codon, and T loops). Lineage: Bacteria; Pseudomonadati; Pseudomonadota; Alphaproteobacteria; Rhodospirillales; Rhodospirillaceae. The record is from RNAcentral.
GCGCUCGUAGCUCAUCUGGAUAGAGCACCGGUUUCCUAAACCGGGGGUAGCAGGUUCGAGUCCUGCCGAGCGCACCA